UCCCUAGGUAAGUUUGAUCCUAGAAGUGAUGAGGGAGUAUUCUUGGGAUUUCUUCACAUAGCAAAGCAUAUAAAGUGUUCAAUCAAAAAACUUUGUGUGUAGAAAAAAGUUUGCAUGUUGUAUUUGAUGAAACUAAAAUUCUUUUUGAGGGACUGGAACAUGAAGAUGAAUCAAUUGGACUGGUCAAAGACUUGGGGUGAAGCAUUGGCUCAAGUCAAAGCGGCACCUACAGAAGGAACAGGUCUCUUCCUU
RNAcentral lists this long non-coding RNA (252 nucleotides) under Nicotiana benthamiana. RNAcentral's name for it is "long non-coding RNA (NBEN_LNC026067)". The record is from RNAcentral. Lineage: Eukaryota; Viridiplantae; Streptophyta; Magnoliopsida; Solanales; Solanaceae.